This 2816-nucleotide ribosomal RNA is filed under the name Mesorhizobium mediterraneum. Its description in RNAcentral is "bacterial LSU rRNA". It matches the Rfam family "Bacterial large subunit ribosomal RNA". Lineage: Bacteria; Pseudomonadati; Pseudomonadota; Alphaproteobacteria; Hyphomicrobiales; Phyllobacteriaceae. The record is from RNAcentral. RNAcentral also lists the same sequence under 2 other names.
GAUCAAGUGUCUUAAGGGCAAUUGGUGGAUGCCUUGGCAUGCACAGGCGAUGAAGGACGUGAUACGCUGCGAUAAGCUACGGGGAGGUGCGAAUACCCUUUGAUCCGUAGAUUUCCGAAUGGGGAAACCCACCUAAGGUGCUUGGAAAAUCAGAGUAGCAGGGCAACCUGCUGCUGUGGUUUCCAAGUAUCGAUAAUAGGUAACUUACCCUGAAUAAAAUAGGGGUAAAGUGGCGAACGCGGGGAACUGAAACAUCUAAGUACCCGUAGGAAAGGACAUCAACCGAGACUCCGGCAGUAGUGGCGAGCGAACCCGGACCAGGCCAGUGGCGAUGAUGAGACAAGCGGAACCUUCUGGAAAGUAGGGCCAUAGUGGGUGACAGCCCCGUACGCGUAAUGCAAAUCAUCGUCCUCGAGUAAGGCGGGACACGUGAAAUCCUGUCUGAAAUUGGGGGGACCACCCUCCAAGCCUAAGUACUCGUGCAUGACCGAUAGCGAACUAGUACCGUGAGGGAAAGGUGAAAAGCACCCCGACAAGGGGAGUGAAAGAGUACCUGAAACCGAUUGCCUACAAACAGUGGGAGUCCAAGGUUCGUCCUGGGUGACCACGUACCUUUUGUAUAAUGGGUCAGCGACUUAGUGUGACGAGCAAGCUUAAACCGCUAGGUGUAGGCGCAGCGAAAGCGAGUCUGAACAGGGCGUUCAGUUCGUCGCAUUAGACCCGAAACCGAGUGAUCUAGCCAUGAGCAGGUUGAAGGUAAGGUAACACUUACUGGAGGACCGAACCCAUAACUGUUGCAAUAGUUCGGGAUGACUUGUGGCUAGGGGUGAAAGGCCAAUCAAACUCGGAAAUAGCUGGUUCUCCGCGAAAUCUAUUUAGGUAGAGCGUCGACCGAAUACCCCAGGGGGUAGAGCACUGGAUGGGCUAGGGGUCCUCACCGGAUUACCAAACCUAACCAAACUCCGAAUACCUGGGAGUACUAGUCGGCAGACACACGGCGGGUGCUAACGUCCGUCGUGAAAAGGGAAACAACCCUGACCUACAGCUAAGGUCCCCAAGUUAUGGCUAAGUGGGAAAGGAUGUGAGGAUCCCAAAACAACCAGGAUGUUGGCUUAGAAGCAGCCAUCAUUUAAAGAAAGCGUAACAGCUCACUGGUCUAAAUAAGGGUCUUUGCGCCGAAAAUGUAACGGGGCUCAAGCCAUACACCGAAGCUUAGGGUUCGUGAGCAAUCACGAGCGGUAGCGGAGCGUUCUGUAAGCUGAUGAAGCCAUACCCGUGAGGGGUGGUGGAGGUAUCAGAAGUGCGAAUGCUGACAUGAGUAACGUAAGGGGAGUGAGAGACUCCCCCGCCGAAAGUCCAAGGGUUCCUGCUUAAAGCUAAUCUGAGCAGGGUUAGCCGGCCCCUAAGUCGAGGCAGAAAUGCGUAGACGAUGGGAACCACGUUAAUAUUCGUGGGCCUGGAGGAAGUGACGGAUCAUUGAGGUAGUCCAAUCUUAUCGGAUUGAAAGGGCUGCUGCGUGGUUCCAGGAAAUAGCUCCUCCUUAUAGACCGUACCCGAAACCGACACUGGUGGACUGGUAGAGUAUACCAAGGCGCUUGAGAGAACUAUGCUGAAGGAACUCGGCAAAUUGCACGCGUAACUUCGGAAGAAGCGUGACCCUUUUCCACGCAAGUGGAGGAGGGUGGCACAGACCAGGGGGUAGCGACUGUUUAUCAAAAACACAGGGCUCUGCGAAGUCGCAAGACGACGUAUAGGGUCUGACGCCUGCCCGGUGCUGGAAGGUUAAGAGGAGGGGUGCAAGCUCUGAAUCGAAGCCCCAGUAAACGGCGGCCGUAACUAUAACGGUCCUAAGGUAGCGAAAUUCCUUGUCGGGUAAGUUCCGACCUGCACGAAUGGCGUAACGACUUCCCCGCUGUCUCCAGCAUAGACUCAGUGAAAUUGAAUUCCCCGUGAAGAUGCGGGGUUCCUGCGGUUAGACGGAAAGACCCCGUGCACCUUUACUAUAGCUUUACAUUGGCAUUCGUAGUGGCAUGUGUAGGAUAGGUGGUAGGCUUUGAAACCUGGGCGCCAGCUCAGGUGGAGCCACCCUUGAAAUACCACCCUUAUCACUAUGGAUGUCUAACCGCGGCCCGUUAUCCGGGUCCGGGACAAUGUAUGGUGGGUAGUUUGACUGGGGCGGUCGCCUCCUAAAGAGUAACGGAGGCGCGCGAUGGUGGGCUCAGAACGGUCGGAAAUCGUUCGCUGAGUGCAAUGGCAUAAGCCUGCCUGACUGCGAGACUGACAAGUCGAGCAGAGACGAAAGUCGGUCAUAGUGAUCCGGUGGUCCCGCGUGGAAGGGCCAUCGCUCAACGGAUAAAAGGUACGCCGGGGAUAACAGGCUGAUGACCCCCAAGAGUCCAUAUCGACGGGGUUGUUUGGCACCUCGAUGUCGACUCAUCGCAUCCUGGGGCUGGAGCAGGUCCCAAGGGUAUGGCUGUUCGCCAUUUAAAGCGGUACGUGAGUUGGGUUCAGAACGUCGUGAGACAGUUCGGUCCCUAUCUGCCGUGGGUGUAGGAAUAUUGAAAGGAUCUGUCCCUAGUACGAGAGGACCGGGAUGGACGGAUCUCUGGUGGACCUGUUGUGGCGCCAGCCGCAUAGCAGGGUAGCUAUAUCCGGACGGGAUAACCGCUGAAGGCAUCUAAGCGGGAAACCCACCUUAAAACGAGUAUUCCCUGAGAACCGUGGAAGACGACCACGUUGAUAGGCCGGGUGUGGAAGAGCGGCAACGCUUGAAGCUUACCGGUACUAAUAGUUCGAUCGGCUUGAUCGUUCUCAUU